UCUCACUGUUCUGCCCUUCAGAGGUUGGGUUGGGCGGUUGUUGUGCUGCAUGGGGACAGCGUUAUCACCUUCAACAUUUGAUAGAAGGCUGCGGAAUUGUGCCAGCUAGAAGGAUAAAAUAUUUUAAAAAUAAAAAGUUUUUAAAGUUACAUAAAGCGUUUUAUUUACAGGAUUACUAACGCACUGAUAUUUAGAAAACUGAGUUAGAAAUUGCAGUAAUAUCACUAAUAGGAAGAGAGAAAGCCCCAAAUCCUUUACAUUCAUUUCUUUGAACCAGGCAUUUUGCUUUAAUUAUUGAUUUAAUUAUUUAAUUAAAUCAAUUAAAUAAAGCAAAUUUAAUUAUUUGCUUUAUUUUAUUGAUUUAAUUAUUGAUGACUGGGUUAAAGUAUCAACUUUUUAAUUUCAGCUGGGGUACGUUGGGCGAGCGACUUAUUAGCUUGGUACCUUAGUUUCCAUAAGUACUUACUUCACUGUGUUGUUGUGAAGAUUAAAUGGGUUAAUACAUGCAAAGCCCUUAGAAUGAUACUUGACACAUAGCAUGUGCUCAAUAAAUGUCAGUUAGCAACAGGCUACAAUGCUUGUCCUGUAGGUUUGUUAUGAGAAUUGGCUAAUAAAACAUAUGUAAGGCACGUAAUAAACAUGGUAGAGCAAUGAAUGAUACUUACUAUAAUCACCAUUAUUAACAACAGUUAAUGAGAUAUUUUGUUGAAUAUUUAAAAGUUUAAGCUCCACAAAAGGAACAAAAAUAUUUUGCCAACUAUCAAGACCCUCUGCUGAGAGUUUGGUGUACAUGUCUCCAUUUUUCUUUGGAUAUACAGAUAAUAAUGUCCUGAAAUAAGUCACAAACUUCCAUGUGAGAGCAGGUUAAGAGCCAGGGAAGGUUAGACCCUCAUCUAGGUGUAUGCUGUUCUGUGACCAUUGCUGUGGUUAAAUUCGAGCUCUUAGUAGAGUCUCAUUGAAUUGUCCUGGCUUGGCCACAACGAUACUGCUGGUGUAUCCAAACUUGAACGUUUAAAUAAAGAGGAAAUGAUGGUGUGUUCCAUUUGGGGUUACAGCUUUAAAGGAGGAGCAGUGUCAUCCUUUGAAGCUAGCUUUGAUAUCAAGAUAUUGCAUUUUUUACAAACUGAAGAUUUGUAGCAACCUUGCAUCAAGCAAGCUUAUUAGGGGCAUAUUUUCAACAGCAUGUGUUUAUUUCACGUCUCUGUGUCACAUUUUGGUAAUUCUCACAAUAUUUUAAACUUUUUAAUUGUUCAUAUAUCUAUCAUGGAGAUCUUUGAUGUUACUAUUAUAAUAGUGUUGUGGCACCAUAAACCAUGUCCAAGUAAGAUGAUGAACUUAAUCUGUAAAUGUUGUGUGUGUUUUAACUACUUUACUGACUGGCUAUUCCCCAUCUAUCUCCCUCUCUGACCUUUGUGCUUGCUGUCCUGCUGUCCAGAUUGCUCUGUACCCAGACCUUUGUAUAGCCUCAAAUAUCUCCUGCUUAGAAAUGACUUUCCUGAACUCCAAAUUCACAUGUCCUCCUUUUCCCAGUCACUCCAUUAUAUCAUUCUGUCUUAUUUCUUUCAUAGCAUUUGUCACAUCUUGCUUGUAUUGUGAAAUUAAUUUACUUGCUUAAUGUCUAUAACCAUCUCUAAAAUGGCAUCUCUAUGAUAUGAUAAAACCUUGAUCAUUUUUUUCACCACCAUGUUCUCUUCAUCUAUAAUAUGCCUGGAAAACAGUGGUGCUCAAUAGACACUUAUAGAGAGAAUAAUUAAAUGGUCAUUUUAAAUUUAAACUAUUGUAUAUUUUUAAAGAUGUAGAAGAGCAGAAUGUUAUCAGGGACUAUGCUUACCCAAGUGCACUGAUCUGAACUCAGGUUGUGUGGUACAUUGAUAUUUGGGCAUGUGAAUGAGCUUUGCUAUACUCAUGUUUGUUUUUGGAUUAAGGAAAAAGCCUUUCCCCUCUCAGUUCUAUUAAUGGGAGGAAUGAAGUGACCCGUCUGUGUCUGUCAGUCAUUACUGGGAGAAUGAGAACACUGAUCUUUAAUAGGGAGGAGAAAAAAGCAAAAUUAUUUAUUAGGGUCUUCACAGCAAAAUUUUAGAAAAGAAUCCUGUCCUCUUACCUGAAGGCAAAAUAGCAAGGUCCUCCUUCCCAGAAACCAAAUCAGAUUUUCUACUUGAAGCAGUACCAAGCCUCUGGAUAGAGCUUCGAGGGAAGGAUUUUGGGGUCAUGGGUUUUUUCCAGGGAGGCUCGAAAAAAGCUUCCCUUGCAGUUUGAGUUUGAAGGCUGUAGCUCAGUGGCAGAUCAGGACACCUAGGAACAUUUCCAAGGAAGUAGCCAUUUCUCUCCCAGCCUUGAACCCUGAUCUCUGGGUUCUUCCCUCUGAGAAUCUCCCCCACCUCAGUUAAACUGCGCAUCAUAACUGCAUGGCUAUUUGAGAUAUUAUUUUUAAAUAACAUGUUUACUUUGUGAAAGCUCUUAGUUAGGGAAACCAGAGGUCAGCAUUGCAGUUUGUUUACAGAUCUGUGAAAUGGCUUUGCCCUGCUACCCCCUUAUUUAUAUCAGAUUUCAUCUUUCAUGCUACCCUCUCUUUUCCAAAUUCAGUUUCCUAAUGCUCUUGGUUACCCCACUUUGGAGAUUACCCCGGCUUGCCUAGGAUGCAUCUCUCCAACUUUCAAUGCCUAACCUUGGCUAGUUAACCAUCUUGAAACACAUUCAUAUCAAAGCAUUAAUGACAGAAAAUAGCUUAAUGUGGUAACUUCUAGUCACAUCUUUGCUUUACAUAGUGAUUUGAAACUCCAAAGAUCUUAAGUAAAGACAUGCAUUUUGAACAAUGAAAUGCCGUGGACUGUUAUGUAUGAUCCACCACAGUCCAAAAUUAUUAAAUGGAAACUUCUAGAAAUAAACAAUACGUUUUCAAUUGCAUGCCAUUCUGAGUAGUGUGAUGACAUCUCACAGCAUCCCACUCCAUCCUGAUGGGGCCGUGAAUCUUCCCUUUGUCCAUCAUAUCGCCUCUGUACAUGCUGCCCUCCCCUUAGUCACUUAGUAGUCUUCUCAGUUAUCAGAUUUUCUGUUGCCAUGUUGCAGUGCUUGUGUUCAAGUAACCCUUAUUUUACUUCAUAAUGGCCCCAAAGCCCAAGACUUGUGAUGCUGGUAAUUUGGAUAUGCCAAAGAGAAGCCAUCAGUCCUUCCUUUAAGUGAAAAUUUGAAAGCUCUUGGCUUAAUAAGGAGAGGAAAAAAGUCAUAUACUGAGGUUGCUAAGAUCUACGAUAAUUGUAAAACAUUAGGACAAGGGCAAUGAGAGAAACCUAAUUAGACAGGAAGGACACACUAAAGAAAGACACAUGAAACAGC
RNAcentral lists this long non-coding RNA (3333 nucleotides) under Homo sapiens (human). RNAcentral describes it as "HSALNT0348129". The record is from RNAcentral. Lineage: Eukaryota; Metazoa; Chordata; Mammalia; Primates; Hominidae.